Molecule: long non-coding RNA, 1400 nt
Organism: Sinocyclocheilus anshuiensis
Lineage: Eukaryota; Metazoa; Chordata; Actinopteri; Cypriniformes; Cyprinidae
Exons: 6
Source: RefSeq, a predicted model, not a curated record
GAGGCUUUCCGUGAAGGGUAACGGGAAACCGGUCCUCAAAGGCACCCCAAAACCGAGGAGUCAGGAGCUGGGCUGCUGCGAUGAGCUGGGGGCAUCAACCGUCAGUCCCGCCUGUGGCUCUGGUGGCGGCACAGCUCUCUCCUGGAGCCUCAUGACAUACCUGCGGACAUGCAUUGGUGGGAGAAAUGAAGCCUUUGCACAUCGGCUGUCGGGUUGCUAAGAGGGACACCUGAAGCCCCGAGGAAGAACCGGUCCCUGUCGUCUCUGGAGUUUGGGCCUUGAAAUAUUCUGGCCGGAUAUGAGCAAAGUAGCAGUCCAACCACUACGGCAAAGAUUUACACAUAUUUUAAGUGUUCGCUGUCACAAAACUGUUAAUGAACUGAUAGUGUGUUGUGUAGUGUGAUCAUCUUACAUGUUCUUCUUUUCUGCUUAACUCAAUAGCUCCUUUGGACAGCGUUACAGUGACUCCGUCUGCCUCCGGCAUUCUGUCGUUCCACUCCUGGACCUGUGAAAACAUUCAAACAGAAACGAUAAGGACCAAGGUGAUGAACCCACAUCAUUGUGGCGAGACAGAAGCUCCGGAAGUCCGUCUUGCUCUUUGCAGGGACCCCCUUAUGUUGGCUGACCCCCUUGCAGCGCUGGAGGAAUCAAAGGGUCCAUGACUAUGGUAUGACUAUCACACCCCUGUACAGUCUAUUACACCCAUCACAAAUGAAUUACAAUGCCUAACUGACUCUACGUUCACACACUUCCCUACCUGUCAUGCCCCUCUUGGAUCAAGAAUCCCUUUGAGUGGAAGUACUCUGCCAAGGAGUCACAAGACGGGUCCUCCCUGACCAAUUUCCUGACCUGUGAGAAAUUCAUAACCCUCCCCUCUCUUGCCCACUUCUCUUGUGACUCCUUGGCCCUCAGGACUUCCUCCUGGAUACGGCCAUCCUCCGCAUCCCUCAAGCAGGAAUUUCUUAAAUGAUGGUCAAUUUUGAUCUGGGGCUUAAGACAAAUCAAGCAGUGGACCACGCUGCAAGGCUUCCUGUACACAGCUGAAGAACGUCCUGAUUAUUUCUCAUGGUAUCUCUUCUCUCCAGCUGGUGGACAACUUGAGACACUGACGGUCAGUGAACAGAUUCGAGUCGGUCCUCACCAGAGGCAAUUCAGCAAAUGUGUCCAGGGGUAACAGGUGGAGGCGUACCUGGUGUCUGGCCCACCUCUGAACUUGCACCGGUCGAGCAGCGGAACCACAACAACACCAACUUGCCCAGCAGGAACAGGUAGUGUUCAGCAGAAAUGGAAUUGAUGUACAAAAAUGGGAAAGGUUCUUCUAAGCAGUGUCUAAGGAAAAAGAGGCCUGUUUUUUUUUUUUUGUUUUGUUGCAUUUAUAGUCACGAUCUUUUUUUUUUUUA